RNAcentral lists this long non-coding RNA (2249 nucleotides) under Gallus gallus (chicken). Its description in RNAcentral is "long non-coding RNA NONGGAT007289". The record is from RNAcentral. Lineage: Eukaryota; Metazoa; Chordata; Aves; Galliformes; Phasianidae.
GAAGCAGUUUUGCAGCUGACAGUUACAGUGGCAGUUACUUCUUUUUAUGCAGUGACCCCAUUCCCACCAGUUGUUCUUCAGGAUGGAACAAUCAGAACAACACGAGCAUCUUUCUGCCUGAUAGCAAAACUUGCAGAGACUCAGACUGCCAGCUGGAGAGGCUUAAGCUUUGUAGCAGUUUAUUCAAAGGACAUCGGUCAGAGUACCCUGAAAGGGGAUGGGGAAGUACUGAAGACAGAAUAUUGAGGAAAAAAAUUUAAAUACCAUGUCUGUCUUUGUAUAUAGAAAUAUCAAAGAAGGACUUUCUCCUGCAACAGAAAAUGAUUUGAAGAAUAGGAUAUAGUCUGAAAUCAGCAGAUCAAACCUUGGACGACUGGUGCCGUCUCCUAAGUUCUGCACUGAAAGAGGAAGAGGUUUACAGUCAGCAUUUGUGCAGUCAACACAAGGCAUCUCCAGAUCUUUAAGGAUAGACUGUCUUCUGCAAGCUCUGCCUUGAGUGUAAAACCUCUGAUUUUAUUCAGAUCUUCCUAAGAUGAUGAUGGAUGUUCUUUAAAGCUUUUGUGAGGACACUUCUACUUCACUUAUGUUGACAGAUGAUGUGCGUCAUAAAGGCUCCUUCUGUUAAUGGGUCUUGCUGUUGCCAUUUGGGGAUCAUGCUGCUUAAAGCAAACUAACAUUUUGCUGGUGAAUUGGUCCAAUGUUGGUCAGAGUGAAGAAUGCCACCUGCUGAAUCAAGGAGUUAAACCUUGUUUUCUCUACUGGACCGGGAUUGUGUAUCCAGGCUGGAGAACUGCUUCAAAAGAAUGUAGAUAAUUCCAGUUUUGUCUUCAGUUGCUAAAAGCAAAUUGCUCUUAGCUUUUCGUGAUCAUCUUUUUGGCUUAUUUUCCGUUCUCUGAGAUAAAUAUAUAUUAAGCUAACAUCUGCCUAAGUGGGAAGGGAGAGAUUAUCAGAAUCAGCACCUUCUCUUUGAGGGGAUGAGACUAUAUAAACAGCCACGUGAUCUGAAUUCCUGGAUUUCACUUCGAUGUAUAUUGCAGUGUGACUGAAGAGCCAGUACUGCUGAAAGGAUAAGAUGAUGAGGUCAGUGGCUACUCUUGUUACAGGAAUUGAAUGAGAAUCAGCAGUAUUUGCAGGUUUGGAGCUGCUUGGGCAUGGGGUGUCCUGGAUAAACUGUGAUAAUGUUGACUUUCCCUUGUUUUACUUUUCUAGUGCUGUGCUCCAAACAUUAAAGUGAGGGUUGUGACUCCAAUGGAGUUUAGAUGAUAACUAUGUGUCAGGUAAAAUAUAUUUUCUUUACAGAGUUUGUAUCCUGCUACUUAAGUCACAUACAUUUGUUAGAGCUGUUAAUUGUCUUUGUGCAGUGGUUCAGCUCUGCCAUUGUUAGAUGGCUCUUCAUAAGGCCACUGCAGGAACUGUGGCCUUGAGAUGAUGCACAGUGACCCUGAGGGACUGGCAGCGUACUCACGGGGCCAGACACCCACUGUUCUGCUGAAGCAGUAACCUGCUUGCUUGGAAAUUACUUCUAGUCCCUUCCAAAGCAUUACUUCAAGUUGUUGCUUAGAUUUCUUUCAAGUGAGUUUUGUAGAACUUCUCUGCUAGUUUGAGAUUUUCAGAUACACUUCUCAUUUGUCCAAGGCAUCAGGAAAACUUGACUGUAUACAGCAUUACUGCAGUGAACUGGAGCAUUAGUUUGCCUUCACCAAAGCCUGUCAAGCUUAUAGAAGUUUUGCUACAGUGAUUGUGUAUAGUAAGUUUGCUAGUUUCCAAUGAAGAAAAGACUCAAUAUGUAGGGGGAUGUGUGCUGCCGCUUUAACAGGAGUAUAUUAGGAUUGGUGGCAGCUGCUGCUCAGUACUAAGAAUGUCCUUCUGGCUGUAUGCUUGCCCAGACAUAGGAAGAGGGUGAGGCCUCUUGUCCACUUGUACUUAAAAGUCAAAUUAGCCAACCUCCCACCAUUGCGGAGUGAAAGGAGGCUGCCUGCAGGUUGGUGAGGCUUGUUCUCUACAUUUCCUGCAGCAUCUGGGACUCAUUCAUCUGUGCUUAUGCAUAAGGUUCAGUGGAGUGUCAGUAUAAGGUAGCUCAGUCACGUACCACAGCAUGGUGUGUGUAUACAGGGAACAAAUCUGUACAGCACCUUCUGAAGUACUGUUCAAGAGUGAUGGUGUUCCAGUGUGCAUGCUUCCAUGUGUUUUAUGAUGAUUGUAAAUAUGAGAGUGAUAUUUGUUUUUUGGCAUAUUGUCUUUAUGCAGAG